Molecule: long non-coding RNA, 510 nt
Organism: Ictalurus punctatus (channel catfish)
Lineage: Eukaryota; Metazoa; Chordata; Actinopteri; Siluriformes; Ictaluridae
Source: Ensembl
AAAAAAGUCCCCCUAUUUUUGUAUUCUUCAAAUUUUAAUGAAAAGAUUUUUUGGUAAAAUUUUGACAUUAUUGGUGAAUGUUAAACGAGAUGUCUUCUUAUUGCGUUAUUUCAUUAUUAAUUUGUUUUGUCUUGCCUUUACUCCUGUGCACCAGACUUUGUUCACUUAAAAUAAAUAAAUAAACGAAAUAAAAUAGAAAUAAAGAAAUAUUGAAAAGAAACAAAGCUACUUAUCAAGAGGUGUGGCUAUCAGGAGGCAUAGUUAACAGGAGGUGUGGUUAUCGGGGUAUAUGGUUAUCAGGAGGUGUGGCUAUCAGGGGGUGUGGUUAUCAGGGGGUGUGGCUAUCAGGAGGCAUAGUUAACAGGAGGUGUGGCUAUCAGGGGGUGUGGUUAUCAGUUAAUAGUGGGAGUAACGGAUCAUCCCAUAAUAACAUUAAAUAUUCAUUAACCUUUUAUCUUAAUUCAGGUUUUUACUCACGAAAAAAACAUUCUGUGUUUUUCCUCGAAAUAG